This is a transfer RNA of Camelus ferus (Wild Bactrian camel), 72 nucleotides long. It matches the Rfam family "tRNA". Rfam says of the family: Transfer RNA (tRNA) molecules are approximately 80 nucleotides in length. Their secondary structure includes four short double-helical elements and three loops (D, anti-codon, and T loops). NCBI's taxonomy places the organism in Eukaryota, Metazoa, Chordata, Mammalia, Artiodactyla, Camelidae. The record is from Rfam.
GAGGGUAAAGCUCAGUGGUAGAGUGUGCGCUUAGCAUGCACAAAGUCCUGGGUUCAAUCCCCAGUCCCUCCA